AAAACGUGGCGGAGUUAUUAAUAAACGAGUGUUUUAGCAGAUAUUUAGGCUUUCAACUCGACAGUCUGUUAAUAGAUAUCGACUCUACACUCCUGUUUGCAGCUACUGUGAUAAUUUCAGACCGGAAUUCACUGUACAGCAGGUGGAAAGUCAUAUGUAAUUCUCGCUAACGCAUUAGCAUUCAUUAGCACAGUGGAUGGACAUUGAGUACUGUGAGCUAACUCAGCUAACAGAAGACUUAACUAAAGUUUCCGCCGUGGGAGCGUUCCAGAGUUGAGCUUAGUGCAGAGAGAUGAACCUACACUGAGAGUUUUGCGACUGCUGGAGGACUGUUUUCUGAAUCCUGUGGACCGAGGGACUGGUGAAGGAGCUGAAGACAUCUUGCCAACUGGGACUAAGGACAGGCGUUGUAGACGGACACGGAGCUCCAUCGGAUGGUGAUAAAUGUGGAAUCCAGCACAAACAGUUUGAACCAGUCAGGCCGUGAUUGAUCAGCGCCCUCUGGGAUGUCAGUUUUCCCACCUCUUCAUCAUCCUCAAUCGUUUUCUCAAAGCAUUUGCUCCGGAGAUUUACACUUGCAG
This is a long non-coding RNA of Xiphophorus maculatus (southern platyfish), 581 nucleotides long. RefSeq lists it as uncharacterized. NCBI's taxonomy places the organism in Eukaryota, Metazoa, Chordata, Actinopteri, Cyprinodontiformes, Poeciliidae. The transcript has 3 exons. The record is from RefSeq and is a predicted model, not a curated record.